AGCAAACACAAGUAUUAAAGGUCCCGCCUGCCCAGUGAAACUUUCAACGGCCGCGGUAUUCUAACCGUGCAAAGGUAGCGUAAUCACUUGUCUUCUAAAUAAAGACCAGUAUGAACGGCUAAAUGAGGACAAGCCUGUCUCUUAUAACUAAUCAGUGAAACUGAUCUUCCAGUACAAAAGCUGGAAUAAAAACAUAAGACGAGAAGACCCCGUGGAGCUUAAAACAAAGCACUAACUAAUUAAAGUCCUAGUACCCUGUUUUAAGUUGGGGCGACUUCGGAAUAAAACAAAACUUCCGAGCACAGAACCACCAGUUCCUACCAAGGCCAACAAGCCUAAGCAUAAGACUGACCCGGCCCCCGCCGAUCAACGAACCAAGUUACCCCGGGGAUAACAGCGCUAUCUUCUUCAAGAGUCCCUAUCAACAAGAAGGUUUACGACCUCGAUGUUGGAUCAGGACACCCAAAUGGUGCAGCCGCUAUUAAAGGUUCGUUUGUUCAACGAUU
RNAcentral lists this ribosomal RNA (506 nucleotides) under Trachylepis maculilabris. RNAcentral's name for it is "partial 16S ribosomal RNA". It matches the Rfam family "Bacterial large subunit ribosomal RNA", at positions 1832 to 2589 of the family's 2925-position model. The record is from RNAcentral. Lineage: Eukaryota; Metazoa; Chordata; Lepidosauria; Squamata; Scincidae.